RNAcentral lists this ribosomal RNA (397 nucleotides) under Ebriida sp. RNAcentral's name for it is "partial small subunit ribosomal RNA". It matches the Rfam family "Eukaryotic small subunit ribosomal RNA", at positions 582 to 975 of the family's 1831-position model. The record is from RNAcentral. Lineage: Eukaryota; Cercozoa; Thecofilosea.
AUUCCAGCUCCAAUAGCGUAUAUUAAAGUUGUUGCAGUUAAAAAGCUCGUAGUUGGAUUUCUGGUUUGAUGCCCUGGCCCGCUGCUAUUUUGGUAGUGUGUGCCGGUUGUGCGUCUGCCAUCCUUCUAGGGAACGUUCCUUCUCUUCACUGAGCCGGGUUCGUGAUCUAGAUCGUUUACUUUGAAAAAAUUAGAGUGUUUAAAGCAGGCUUUUGCUAUGAAUACAUUAGCAUGGAAUAAUGAGAUAGGAUCUUGGCUCUGUUUUGUUGGUUUAUAGAGUUAAGAUAAUGGUUAAUAGGGAUGGUCGGGGGCAUUCGUAUUUAACUGUCAGAGGUGAAACUCUUGGAUUUGUUAAAGACGGACUACUGCGAAAGCAUUUGCCAAGGAUGUUUUCAUUA